GAUGAACGCUGGCGGCGUGCCUAAUACAUGCAAGUCGAGCGAACGGACGAGAAGCUUGCUUCUCUGAUGUUAGCGGCGGACGGGUGAGUAACACGUGGAUAACCUACCUAUAAGACUGGGAUAACUUCGGGAAACCGGAGCUAAUACCGGAUAAUAUUUUGAACCGCAUGGUUCAAAAGUGAAAGACGGUCCUGCUGUCACUUAUAGAUGGAUCCGCGCUGCAUUAGCUAGUUGGUAAGGUAACGGCUUACCAAGGCAACGAUGCAUAGCCGACCUGAGAGGGUGAUCGGCCACACUGGAACGGAGACACGGUCCAGACUCCUACGGGAGGCAGCAGUAGGGAAUCUUCCGCAAUGGGCGAAAGCCUGACGGAGCAACGCCGCGUGAGUGAUGAAGGUCUUCGGAUCGUAAAACUCUGUUAUUAGGGAAGAACAUAUGUGUAAGUAACUGUGCACAUCUUGACGGUACCUAAUCAGAAAGCCACGGCUAACUACGUG
RNAcentral lists this ribosomal RNA (497 nucleotides) under uncultured bacterium. Its description in RNAcentral is "partial 16S ribosomal RNA". It matches the Rfam family "Bacterial small subunit ribosomal RNA", at positions 28 to 507 of the family's 1533-position model. The record is from RNAcentral.